AAGGAGUUGAGAAGGGAGGAGGAAAUGAGAACAAUGGGUUUUAUUGCCAGUGAAAGGAAUGAGACACAAUUACAUCUUGAAGGGGAUGUUUGAAUGAAGUGGAGGCUUUUUAAGGCUGGGGGAAUUCUAGUCUAUUUGAUAAAGGGACAAAGAUCAUAGAGUAAGGAUGAAAGUAGAUUAUGGAGAAAGAAGGUGGUGUAUCACACAAGGAAAAUUUGGGAGGAAUCGGGGUUAAGCGCACAAGUAAUAACAUUUUGUAAUCCUUUGACUUAAAUGGUGUCUCUGUUUUAGGCUUUUGAAACACAUGUGAUCUAUAAAAGUAAGCUCUAUUAUACUCCCGUGUGUGCCAUGUUUGGUCAUGCAUCAUGUGAAUUCCCCUUGACCUGCACAGUGUUUAGGACAACAAGCUCACGGAAGAUGGAGGAGGAGCCUGUUGCUAAUCUGCCAUCUCGGGACCACAAAGAAUCUCGUGCCCUGAGAAUGCAGGCUAGUGAAUAUGGCCCCAUCCAUUGGAGUCGAGAACUCUGUGGCAUCCUGGGGAGAUCAGGAAAAAUGUUCUCUUCAGAACAAAAGACUGACUCUUGCCCAAGGAAUCGCCUUUUGGGUCAUUUGGCAUAUGAUACUCCCUUGUCCUGCAUAGUGUUAAGGUAAGAAUUAUACCUGUUUGUCUCUGUUAAUGUUCUCCUUAUUGUCAAGUUCAUCUCCUCACACUACUAAAAAUUAUCUCGACUAAUUAUUUCUCUCUCUUAUCAAUGUUUUGCCAUUAAUCAUUGUGUAAGUGUAGGACUGCCACUGAAGAGACAAGAUGAUAGCACAGGGAAGUCCUGGAAUUGGAGG
RNAcentral lists this long non-coding RNA (837 nucleotides) under Monodelphis domestica (gray short-tailed opossum). RNAcentral describes it as "lncRNA (ENSMODG00000036209.2)". The record is from RNAcentral. Lineage: Eukaryota; Metazoa; Chordata; Mammalia; Didelphimorphia; Didelphidae.